GACGAACGCUGGCGGUGUGCUUAACACAUGCAAGUCGAACGGUAAGGCCCUUUCGGGGGUACACGCGUGGCUAACGGGUGAGUAACACGUGCGUAACCUGCCCUCCUCUCUGGUAUAACUGUCGUAAACGGUUGCUAACACUUGCUAUGAGCCUGCUCGUCAUCCUGUGUGGUGGUAAGAUUUUUUGGUUGGGGAUGGAUUCGCGGCCUACCAGCUUGUUUGUGGGGUAGUUGCUCACCAAGGCCUCCUCGGGUAGCCGGCCUGAGGGGGCGACCGGCCAAAUUGGGACUGAGAUACGGCCCAAAAGCCUACGGGAGGCAGCAGGGGGGAAUAUUGCACAAAGGACGGAAGGCUGAUGCAGCAACGCCGCGUGGGGGAAGACGGCCUUCGGGUUGGAAACCGCUUUCAAUUGGGACGAAGCUUUUUGUGACGGUAGCAGUAGAAGAAGCACCGGCUAACUACGUG
This 465-nucleotide ribosomal RNA is filed under the name uncultured bacterium. RNAcentral's name for it is "partial 16S ribosomal RNA". It matches the Rfam family "Bacterial small subunit ribosomal RNA", at positions 28 to 507 of the family's 1533-position model. The record is from RNAcentral.